Molecule: ribosomal RNA, 465 nt
Filed under: Vreelandella stevensii
Lineage: Bacteria; Pseudomonadati; Pseudomonadota; Gammaproteobacteria; Oceanospirillales; Halomonadaceae
Description: partial 16S ribosomal RNA
Rfam family: Bacterial small subunit ribosomal RNA
Source: RNAcentral
CCUACGGGGGGCAGCAGUGGGGAAUAUUGGACAAUGGGCGAAAGCCUGAUCCAGCCAUGCCGCGUGUGUGAAGAAGGCCUUCGGGUUGUAAAGCACUUUCAGUGGGGAAGAAAGCCUUGGGGCUAAUACCCUCGAGGAAGGACAUCACCCACAGAAGAAGCACCGGCUAACUCCGUGCCAGCAGCCGCGGUAAUACGGAGGGUGCGAGCGUUAAUCGGAAUUACUGGGCGUAAAGCGCGCGUAGGCGGUCUGAUAAGCCGGUUGUGAAAGCCCCGGGCUCAACCUGGGAACGGCAUCCGGAACUGUCAGGAUAGAGUGCAGGAGAGGAAGGUAGAAUUCCCGGGGUAGCGGUGAAAUGCGUAGAGAUCGGGAGGAAUACCAGUGGCGAAGGCGGCCUUCUGGACUGACACUGACGCUGAGGUGCGAAAGCGUGGGUAGCAAACAGGAUUAGAUACCCGUGUAGUC